Molecule: transfer RNA, 77 nt
Filed under: marine actinobacterium MedAcidi-G3
Lineage: Bacteria; Bacillati; Actinomycetota; Actinomycetes
Also listed under: 5 other names
Description: tRNA-His
Rfam family: tRNA
About the family: Transfer RNA (tRNA) molecules are approximately 80 nucleotides in length.
Source: RNAcentral
GUGAUCGUAGCUCAGUUGGUUAGAGCGCCUGUCUGUGGCACAGGAGGUCGGGGGUUCAAUUCCCCUCGGUCACCCCA